CGAGGAUGAACGCUAGCGACAGGCUUAACACAUGCAAGUCGAGGGGCAGCAUAGAAGUAGCAAUACGUUGGUGGCGACCGGCGUACGGGUGAGUAACGCGUAUGCAACCUACCUAUCAGAGGGGAAUAACCCGGCGAAAGUCGGACUAAUACCGCAUAAAACAGGGGCACCGCAUGGUGAUAUUUGUUAAAGAAAUUCGCUGAUAGAUGGGCAUGCGUUCCAUUAGGUAGUUGGUGAGGUAACGGCUCACCAAGCCGACGAUGGAUAGGGGAACUGAGAGGUUGGUCCCCCACACUGGUACUGAGACACGGACCAGACUCCUACGGGAGGCAGCAGUGAGGAAUAUUGGUCAAUGGGCGGGAGCCUGAACCAGCCAAGUCCGCGUGAAGGAAGAAGGAUCUAUGGUUCGUAAACUUCUUUUGCAGGGGAAUAAAGUGCAGGACGUGUCCUGUUUUGUAUGUACCCUGAGAAUAAGGAUCGGCUAACUCCGUGCCAGCCGCGGC
RNAcentral lists this ribosomal RNA (503 nucleotides) under uncultured bacterium. RNAcentral's name for it is "bacterial SSU rRNA". It matches the Rfam family "Bacterial small subunit ribosomal RNA", at positions 26 to 518 of the family's 1533-position model. The record is from RNAcentral.